GCAAGUCGAGGGGUAACAGAAGUAGCUUGCUACUUGCUGACGACCGGCGCACGGGUGCGUAACGCGUAUACAAUUUGCCCUUUACUGGAGGAUAGCCCUAAGAAAUUGGGAUUAAUACUCCAUAAUAUUAUGAAUUCGCAUGUUUUUAUAAUUAAAGCUCCGGCGGUAAAGGAUGAGUAUGCGUCCUAUUAGAUUGUUGGUGAGGUAGCGGCUCACCAAGUCAGCGAUAGGUAGGGGGUCUGAGAGGAUGAUC
RNAcentral lists this ribosomal RNA (253 nucleotides) under uncultured bacterium. RNAcentral describes it as "partial 16S ribosomal RNA". It matches the Rfam family "Bacterial small subunit ribosomal RNA", at positions 57 to 305 of the family's 1533-position model. The record is from RNAcentral.